This is a long non-coding RNA of Nyctereutes procyonoides (raccoon dog), 582 nucleotides long. RefSeq lists it as uncharacterized. The record is from RefSeq and is a predicted model, not a curated record. The transcript has 3 exons. Lineage: Eukaryota; Metazoa; Chordata; Mammalia; Carnivora; Canidae.
GGGCAGAGGGGAAAGUCCACGGAGUGGGAGGUCUUGGCUGCACAGGGAGAGCUACCUGAUUUUCCCUUAGGCCCCAGCACCCUGUACAUUCUGGAGAUGACAGCGGGAAGAGGCCCCUUCCUGAACUUUUGUCUCUUGAGGCCUGGGUCCAGUUGGAGAGCCGUCCCCCUGAGGGGAGAUGGCCUGAAAUGGCACAAGGGGAAGAGCAGCAGACACGACCCUGGUUCUGGUCCUUCAACUGUGAACCUGAGCUGUGGGCAACGCAACCUUCCCCAUCAAGGUUAAGGAGCAGGUGUCUGAAAGUAGCACCUGCUGUAUACACCCUCGGGAGUUAGAAAUCUCUGUUCCCUCACAUACCCAGCAAAGCACCCCUCACCUCCGGAACCGAGACUGAGUACCUUGAAAUGAAAUGGCAGGCCCGGGUCAGGGGCUGGGGAGCGGGAUUUGCCUGCGAUAGGCCUUCCCCCAGGAGAGAACAGCAGCAAGUUUCUUUCCAGGGCUGGGCCCUGCUUUCCUCACCAGGUGGGGAAUGUUCUUUCAGCCACAAAGGAGGUACAUCUGUGACUGCUGUCUUUUUCUUUU